UUAGACCACUGGAAGUGCCUUUAUGACAAAAGGCUGAGACGAGCGUGAUACGCUAGAAUUCCUUGAACCUGAUCCAGUUUGUACUGGCGUAGGAAAAGUGGCGUUAUAAACCG
This 113-nucleotide non-coding RNA is filed under the name Staphylococcus cohnii. RNAcentral's name for it is "TPP sequence". It matches the Rfam family "TPP riboswitch aptamer (THI element)". From Rfam's summary of the family: Vitamin B(1) in its active form thiamin pyrophosphate (TPP) is an essential coenzyme that is synthesised by coupling of pyrimidine and thiazole moieties in bacteria. The previously detected thiamin-regulatory element, thi box was extended, resulting in a new, highly conserved RNA secondary structure, the THI element, which is widely distributed in eubacteria and also occurs in some archaea. The record is from RNAcentral. Lineage: Bacteria; Bacillati; Bacillota; Bacilli; Caryophanales; Staphylococcaceae.